AUUAGAGGAUACGGCGGCCGCGGAGGCGGUGCCUGUGGCUUCUGCCCCGCUCAGCGCGCGGCCCGACCCUCGCGGCUCGCUGCUCCAGUUCCACCAUGGCUCCCAAAGGUGGCUCCAAGCAACAGUCCGAGGAGGACUUGCUUCUGCAGGAUUUCAGCCGCAACCUGUCGGCCAAGUCCUCGGCGCUCUUCUUCGGGAACGCCUUCAUCGUGUCCGCCAUUCCCAUCUGGUUAUAUUGGCGAAUAUGGCAUAUGGACCUUAUUCAGUCUGCUGUUCUGUAUAGUGUGAUGACCCUAGUAAGCACUUACUUGGUAGCCUUUGCAUACAAAAAUGUGAAGUUUGUUCUCAAGCACAAAGUAGCACAGAAGAGGGAAGAUGCUGUUUCCAAAGAAGUAACUCGAAAACUUUCUGAAGCCGAUAAUAGAAAGAUGUCCCGGAAGGAAAAAGAUGAAAGAAUCUUGUGGAAGAAGAAUGAAGUUGCUGAUUAUGAAGCUACAACAUUUUCCAUCUUCUAUAACAACACCCUAUUUCUGGUCUUGGUCAUUGUUGCCUCCUUCUUUAUAUUGAAGAACUUCAACCCCACAGUGAACUACAUUUUGUCCAUAAGCGCUUCCUCAGGCCUCAUCGCCCUCCUGUCAACUGGCUCCAAGUAGACGGUGUCAGCUUUGCGUGCACCCUCCCCCCCUCUUUGUAUCUAUGGGUGGCCUGCGCAUGCAGAAGUUCCACAGGAUCAAAGCCACACCACAGCCGUGACAAUGCCAGAUCCUUAACCUGCUGAGCUACUAGUGAACUCCUCUCCUGGACUUUGGAUUUCUUAAUAUCCUUUUCCUCUUUAUCAAGAAAACAUAACCAGUUUCUCCCAUUCUAAAAUAAGUUUCCUCUGACCCUCCAUACCUGUGUAGCCCCACCAUCUUCUCUCUCUUGCUCUCUUUUUUCUUUUUUUGGGUUUUUGUUUUUUUAGGCUGCACCGGAGGCAUAUGGAAGUUCCCAGGCUAGGGGUCGAAUUGGAGCUACACCUGCCAGCCACAGCCACAGCCACAGAAACACGGGAUCUGAGCUGUGUCUGUGACCUAUAACAUAGCUCACGGCGAAGUGGGAUCCCCAACCCACUGAGUGAGGCCAGGGAUCAAACCAAAUCCUCAUGGAUACCAGUCGGAAUUGUUUCUGCUGCACCACAACAGGAACUCCCCAUCUUCUCUUCUUAAACUUCUAAAAGGUCAGUUGAGACUCCCUGCAUUCCCCUCACAUCCCAGGCCCUUUGUCACCAUGUCAGAAGCCAAGGUCCCCAGGAACCUCCCUGGGGUUAGGUAGACUUUUCUGUUGGUAGCUGCCUGUAACUAGACAUUUCUCAGGCCCAUGGAUGUAGUCUUACUGGAUGUCCCUGUUGGAUGCCCCACAGGUACUGCCAACUUCUUGGUACUUAUUAAACCUGUCCUUCUUAUUUCCUAAUCUCAUUUGGUGGUAUCACCAGCAACUUGGCCUCCUAAUCCAGGAACCUGGGUGUUAUCCUUAGGCACUGUCCUUUUCUUUCUUUUUAAAGUUUUUUUUUUAUUAUAGUUGAUUUACGAUGUUCUGUCAAUUUCUGCUGUACAGCAAAGUGACCCAGUCAUACAUAUAUAUGCACAUUCUUUUUCUCACAUUAUCCUCCAUCAGGUUCCAUCACAAGUGUUUGGCUAUGGUUCCCUGUGCUAUACAGCAGAAUCUCAUUGCUUAUCAAUCCCACAUUCCCUUUUAAUCGUCAAAUCUAGUUGAUCGUCCCUCCUAAAUACUUCUUUAAUCCAGUAGUUCUCAAAUUUUAGCAUGCAUCAGAAUCACCUGGAGGGCUUGGGAAACACUGCUUAUUUGGUGCUUCACCCUGAGUUUCUGACCCAGAAAGUCUGGAGUGGAGUCUGAGGAUUUGCAUUUCUGACAAACUCCCAGGUGAUGCUGAUGUCUGGUACAAGGACUGUACUUUUUAAACAGCUUUAAGUGUAUAAUUCAGUAAUUUUUAAUAAAUGUAUCAAGUGUACAACUAACUAUUUAUUUAUUUAUUUAUUUGCUAUUUCUUGGGCCGCUCCUGUGGCAUAUGGAGGUUCCCAGGCUGGGGGUCCAAUCGGAGCUGUAGCCACUGGCCUAUUCUAGAGCCACAGAACGCGGGAUCCAAGCCACGUCUGCAGCCUACACCACAGCUCACGGCAACGCCGGAUCGUCAACCCACUGAGCAAGGGCAGGGACCGUACCCGCAACCUUGUGGUUCCUAGUCGGAUUUGUUAACCACUGUGCCACGACAGGAACUCCACAACUAACACUUUAAAAUUCGGUUUUUGGACUGGGGAUUUGGGAUUGGCCUGUACACAAUGGUAUAUGGAAUGACUGGCCAAUGGGGCCCUGUAGUAUAGCACAGGGAACUCUACACAAUAUACUGUGAUAAUCUAUGUGGGAAAAGGAUCUGAAAAAGAGUGGAUGUGUGUAUAUGUAUAACUGAAUCACUUUGUUGUACAGCAGAAACGAUCACAACACUUAACUACAGUAAAACUAAAAAAUGAAAAAAAAAAUUCAGGUUUUAGAACAUUUCCAUCAUCUCAAUAAGAAAGAUCCUUCGUGCCCAUUUACAGUUAAUCCCAUUUCUAUCCCCAACCCUAGGAAACCACUCAUCUAUUUUGUGCCCCUAUGGGUUUAUUAUUUCUGGACAUAUCAUCUAAAUGGAAUCAUAGAGUAUGUCUUUUGUGUCUGACUUUCACUUUUAGCAUAAUGUUUGUGAGGUUCAUCCAUGUUAUAGCACAGGCCAGUAUAUCGUUUCUUUUAUUGCUGAGUAGUAUUCCAGUGUGUGGCUGCGGGGACCACACUUGGAGAAUCCCUGCUCUGGCUCAACUGUAAACUGCCAACAUCCAGUCCCUUAUCACCUCUCAUGCAAAACAUGACAAGCCUAUGUCUUGUUUGGAUAUUCCUUGCCUCCCCCCUACACAUCCACUGUAGCUUCUCCAAAUAGAAAUCUGUUCAAGUCACUUGCCUGCAAACAUGUGCCUCAUGGAAUCCUUGUCCUAUGACAUGAAGGACUCACCUCUCACCCUGACAGACCUUACUAGAAAGCCCUCCUCUCCAGCUUCCCGUUUCCUCACUGCCUGCCUUGAACUUUGUGCUUCAGCAGCAUUGUUUGUAAAUCCUCUCCAUUCCCAAAUGUCAUGCUAUGUUUCUCCUUGAGCCUUUGGCUCAGGCUGUCCCCUUAGCCUGGAAUGUCCCUGUGCCUCCUCCCUUCCUUUGCCUCACUAAUAUCUACUCAUCAUUUGGGAUUCCUCAUGGGCACUACCUUCCCUGAAUCCCAGGCUGGGUUGGAAGCUCCCACGUUUUACUUCCACACCCCCCUUGCCCUGUACCCAUCUCAGUUAUUUUACUAUAACACUGUAUUAAAAUUUUUCUGUUAAUUUCUUUACUCGCCCACCAGGCUGUGAGAUGUGUGUUAUCCGCAGUUGAAUGCUUAGCACCCGGCCCAACACCUGCACAUAGUAGGUAUUUAUUAGGUGUUUGUUGCAUAAAUAGAGGCAUGAAUGAUUGAUGGAUGUCCCUGAACACCUCUUCUGCCUCCCAUUUGCUCAGGCCCUGCUGUCAACUGAUACUCUUAAGCUGUUACCAUGUGUAGACCUUUUAAGACAAUCACUAAAUCUUUCCACAUGGGCAAGAUAAUACUCUAUGAAGAAAACAAGCCAAGAGAUCUUUUUUUUUUCUUUUUUUUUGGCUGCAUUAUUUUCUGCUUUGCACUUAGAACUCUUUUUUGGCACAGUGGAAGUUCUAAGGGCAGAGCAGGGCACUGGAAAAAUUAUUGCCUACAAACUACCUGAUGUCAGCAACAGCUGAUUCCCUGGCUGUUGGGUGUAGGAGAACCCAUUCGAGCCGGGCCAAGGCCAGAGGUAAUGUAGAUGAUUAAAGAUAAUUAGCAUUUAAUCAAGUGUCACCCACAGGCACAUCCAGAGUGCCUCUUUAUGAGCAAGGUGAAAAUACUGGCUCCUGUGCCGGCAUGUGACGUGGGAACCAGCCCACAAAUGGGUUCAAGUAGUUUGUUUUCCACCAGAGGAUCUUCCCGCCUCCCCACCCAUGCUUCUAGCAGAUCAAAAGUAAUAUGCCUGGAAAUAAUUUCCCUCUUGGUUUGAGAGUUCUGUGGUUUAAAACAAAACUACUUGUUUACAAAAAAUAGAAAAAUGACAGGCAAGAAAGACAUCUCGGGGCACAGAGGGAGUAAAAGGAGAAACAAAGCAUGUUUUAGUUUGAACUCAGACUCUGUAAAGAGGAUCUUUAAUGUGCCUCUAACUUCCAGUGAAAGUCUCAAUGUUGCAAAGAUUUUCUCUUUAGAAAGACAGUGUUCUGUCUCUUUGAGAGCUAAAUUCAAUACUCGCUUUCAUGUUAAUACCUAAAAACCAUAUUUAUGGCUUGUUUCAAGAAUAUGUGUUUCUCCUCGUGCCUGUUACUCUGACCAUAUGCCAUGGCUAGGACUUCACCGAGUUUCAGCCUAGGGUGUCUAAUACUUUGCAAAAACAUCAUCAUCUUCAUCAUCUUUUUACCAGUUUACUGGUAAAGCUCUUUGCUUUCCAUACAUAAUUUCGUUUUACUCAACAAGUUUGUAAGAUAUAUAUUAUUAUAACCAUUUUUCAGAUAUCAGGUUAAAUAACUUGCUGACGGUCAAAGAGCUAAUACCUUUUUCUGUGCUCAUUAAAGCAUAGGGAUGCUAAUAAUCACAUUAAAUAUAAUCUUUGAUUUUUUUUUUUUUUGGAAGAAAGGAUUAAUGCAACAGUCACACAUAUACUUAGGUAAAUGGUAUUUACCCUGAAACCACCUCCCAUUUCCAUCUUUCUGUGACUAUUAACUCCAACUACCAUUGACUACAACUACCAUCUUCCUGACUUCUAACCUCAGAAGGGUCAAGCAUCUAAGAAAUACUCUGUUUUAUUUGCAUAGAACUUAUCUUGAGCUCUUUGUCUCAUUGCCUCACUAUAUCUAAUUUGUCCCAAUUCCUCCUAUUUCUUAAUCCUUAGGAGUUUUUGUCUAGAAUCUAUACCCAUUUUAUUUUCUCAUUGCUAUUACAUGAAUUCUUUUCAGUCUCUUUUUCAUUUGUGAAGUGGCAAUAAUAAUGGCAAAAUUCCAUUAACAUCCAGAAGAUAGGGCUAGUACUAGGAGACGCCUCAUGGGAUUGUUCUGAUUAAGGAGACAAGACAAUGAGCAUAAAGAGCUUAUCAAAGAGCCUGGUGGAUACCCCCCAGCAAGGGAACUAAAAGUCUAAAUGCUUUUUUGUCUAAUCGCUGGUCUCUAGCCACAUGUGGCUACUGAACAUGGGACAUGUUGAGCCUGAAUUGACACCUGGAUUUUGAAGACUUAGCAUGAAAAAAAAGUGUGAAAUGUCUCAACAACUUUUUAUAUUUAUUUCUUGUUAAAAGUAUAAUAUUUUGGCUAUAUUGGAUUAAAUAAAAUCCAUUAUUAAAACUAAUUUCAGCCAUUUCCUUUUUAGUUUUUUAAUAUGGCACUGGAAAUCUAAAAUUAAAUACAUAGUGCACAUCACAUUUCUAUGGGAUGGUACUGGUGCAAUGUGGUUUUCAAGUGUUACCAGUGACCAUGACCUUUUAUUGACUCCACAUUGUCAGAAGAGCCAUCUUCAUGGCCUUGGAAGAAUCGGGGUGACACUGUUCCUCCAGGAGAGGCUUUCCUUGAGGUGAUAGCCUUCACCACUGUUGCAGCCCUGCUCCUCAGCCUCUCACCAACCCCACCUUGGCUUCAACUGGGAUAGAAAACUAACUGGCUGUUGCUGCACAGUUCAGGGGCAUUCACCCCUGAUGCUGGGGGAAUGCAUUUUCCCUAAUGUGUUCUUGCUUAGACUGUGUUAUAAGGGAAAGGAGAAGGAAGGAAGUAAAUUGUUUCAGCAUGUGGAACAUUCUGAGGAACUCUGGAAAUCUCAUUUUAGGUAGUAUUGACUGAGAGUUAAUGCUUCAGAGAUCGUCUGCCCCUGCAGAAGAUAUUUUAUCAUAAGAGGGAUGUGGACCAACAAUAGGAAACCACUGCAUUUUCUGUAACCCAGCAGAGCUUCCCCUCAUCAGUGAUUUUCUUACCAACAGCUAGCUGGGGUAGCGUGCAUCCUAGACGCUCUGCAAUUGGGAGAAGGUCUUUCAGCUUGUUUUGCUGUUUUCUCCCUUCUUCACUUAUAAUCCUUUCCUUCAACCACUGGUAGCACUAGAGAUAAGAAGAAUAUUUAAAUGUUAAAUGUCUGGUAAGGAUUUGAUCCAAAGAUUGUUAAUUUAAUAAAAUACAGGAGCCUUGUGCCUGAAAUUUGGCUCUGACCUUUCUGUUUGCUGGUGACAAGGAUGCCUAGGCCUUUGUACAAAGAAUUAGGUUCCCUGCAGUCUUGCUCCUUGUUCAUUGGUUCAAAAUAGACUGAUUUUGACUAGAACUCACCAUUCAAAUUCAUCAAUAGGCAAAAAAGUUGUUAAAAUUGGGACAUAUAGUCAAUGAUAUCUUACCUGGAAUUGAUGUUUCUUAUUUUGAUAGCCUUUAGAAUGUAGAAAAAAAGAGGCAUUUAUAUUGAACCAAGGUCUAUUUGUUUCCUUAUGGGGAGAAAGCUGGGCACCAAGCUUUCUUUUCAAAAAAAAGCCGUGAUCUUAAAAUUCUUGUUAUAACAAUUUACUCCUAGUCUCUCCCGUAUUCUUAUAAUGGGGCUUUAUUAUUAGCUUUCUCAGCUCUUUCCUAAAAGCAAAUGUGAAUGGUAUGACUGAUAGGUACUGAGUACAUUUUAAAAUUUUUAAAGUGGAUAAAGACUUUCCCAAACAUGUGUUAACUUUUGUAUAAUGUUUGGAACUUAAAAAGGCAAGGGGACUUAAAAAGGUAAACGGGAAACUUCUUUAAAACCUAUGAGAAGAGACUGAUUCAGAUGGAGACUAUAAAGUGAGCCUAAUUUCCUAAAUAUGAGGAGAAAAAAAUUUGUUAAACUUCUCAAUGCCCUACUUUCCAGAAGGUUCUGCUCCUACUAUGAAAUGAGGAACAACAGACUCUUAUGUACAAAGCUAGCUCUAAGCAACACCCAAAAAAGAAUAUUUGUAAAAAUCUGUUAGUCUCUUUUAGUGACAGUAAUGAAAACCAUCCCCUUGUGUGGCAAUGUGGACUUUCUCCAUUGCAUGUGUUUGCGACAUAAUUGCCACCACAGACCUUUACCUUCCCAAAGGCAGCGGAAAGCUGGGCAAUUGUCACAGAACCUCCACCCACAUGAUUUCAAUAGGCUUCUGGCUUUUUUUUUUUUUUUUUAAGUAUUUUUUCAUAUCCUAAGACAGCAUUUCCAAAGAAAAGGGUAACCACAUUAUGUUUUAUUAUGAUUUUUGGAAUGAUUUCACAGAUGUGAAAAGAAAGGGCGAGCUGCCCUAGUUCUAUUUGCCUCCUAGAUCUCAGAGGCUUAUAGUUUGGCUCCUUGAGUGAAGUUUGCUUAGAGAUAUGACCGAGAGCUUUCUCAGCCUCAGCUCGUGGGGGACCUCAGCUUCUUCCAGGAGGAAGUGUGGCUUGGAGCAUCCUUCCAUAGACACCCAGUGGUGCCGGCAGUGAUGAGGUGGACAGUUGAAGGCAAUGAACACUAAGAUGGGAGUCCAGCAGCCUUCUCAGUCAGCAUGCUGGGUAUAUCAGAGAGCCCCUGAACUUACUUUUAUUGUCCUCAAGGGCAAAAACAUCACCAAUCCUUGCUUUAGUUUCAUAUCACCUUUCAGGGAACCAGUAUCUCUAAAUGUUGUUAAAAUGAAAAAAACAAAACAAACCAAAAAAACAAAAACAAAAAACAAAACCAGCAGCCAAAAUGUCUCUUGAACACUUGCUUUUUAUUAGGAGAGUUCCUGAGGUUUCAACAUAUACAGACACAUAAAGGAUGAUUGAUUGAUCAAUCUUUUAAAAAUUUUUUUUUUUUGUCUUUUUAGGGCUGCACCCACGGCGUACAGAAGUCCCCAGGCAAGGGGUCAAAUCGGAGCUGUACCUGCCAGCCUAUGCCACAGCCACAGCAAUGCCAGAUCCGAACCACAACUGCGAACUACAUUACAGCUUGAGGCAACACCGGAUCCUUAACCCACUGAGCAAGGCCAGGGAUCAAACUCAAGUUCUCAUGGAUACUAGCUCUAUUUGUUACCACUGAGGCACUAUGGGAACUCCUUAUUUUUUGGCUGCACCCACAGCAUGUAAAAGUCUUUAGGCUAGGGAUCAAAUCCAUGCCAUGGCUGUAACCAGAGCCACAGCAGUAACAAUGCAGGAUUCUUAGAACACUGAGGCAUGAGGGAAAUGCCAUUUUUUGAAAUCUUAUUAUCUGCAAUGCAUUUUUAUUCUUAGGAUCAAGUUACAAGUUAGAUAAGAGUGUGUACAGUGUGUGUGUACAUGUGUAAUGCACCCCCUCCCACACACGCACAAACCACAUUGAGAAGAAGAUUUCUAAAAGUAACAAAUGCCAAACAUUCAUUUAUUGACUCUCUCUCUCCCCACCCUCAACACAAAUGUCACUGUUGCUCUAACCAGUGGAAAGUAUAAGCAGGUUAGAGUUUUUAAAAAGUAGAUGGAUAGUAUUUAUACUGCUUUCCUCAUACCAAAUGAAACAAUUGUGUUUAGGAAAUAAACAACUUGUAAUUACUUUACAAGUGAGAAAAUGUUAGCAUAGGGAGAAAUGAGACUUAACUAAAAUAUUAAUUAAAUAUGGAAGUAAAAUAGUGUUUUUUGUAAGAAGGUUGGUGGUGGGUGUGGGUGUGCACAAUCAUAAACCCAGCUUGUUGAUUGUGGGUAGCAAUCUGUUAAUCAAAAGAUAAAAUUUCAUCUUCCCCUAUUAUAUUGCUUACCCUAUUGCUGCAGUGAUUUGACUACAUGUUGACCAUUCUUUCUAACUAAGUGGAAGGCAGGGAUGGCUUCUUGUCUAUCUCAACAUCUCCAGUCUUGACACAGUGGUUGGCAGAUACCAGGAGCUCAGUCAAUAUGGCAGUGAGGAAGGGAUCUGAGAAAGCAGGACUCCACAGGGUAAAGAUCGAUUGCUUCAAUUUUUCAGAUUGAGCAUAGACACUUCCUUGAUACAGUAGGACUUGGCUGGUGGUUCUUGUGGAUUCCAGGUAGUUUCAUAAUGCACCCCACAAAAGAGCAGCCAAGUCUUCACUAUUAAAGUGGAAAUAUCUAGGUAAAAUUCUGGAGCUAAAAAAUUUUCUCCUGAAAUCAUACCAUAAUGUGCAACAUCCUUAUUGUUUUAAUGUGAAGUCCUGGAGUACUUGGUCUGCCCCUCUCCUCCCACUUUGAUCACCUAAGCUUGCAUGUUUCUUAUUUUCUUUUGACAGAAGGGUAUGUAUUUUUAUGAUUCUUCUCUAAGGUAUUUUCCCAGCAGUAGAGAAGAGCUACCCAUAACUUUUACUGCACUUUUCAUUUCUAUUUAAUUUUUUUAUUUAAAAGCUACUCACAGAGUUCUUUUGUGGUGCAAUGGGUUAAGGACCUGGCAUUGUUACCUCAGUGGCUCAGGUGGCUGCAGUGGCUUGGGUUCAGUCUCUGACCCCGGAAUUUCCAUAUGCUGUGGGUGCAGCCAAAAAAAGAAAAAAAAAAAAAAGUUGCUCACUUGGUCUCUUGAUCAGACCUUGUUGAUCCUCAGCAAGGAUCAACAGAUAAGGCUCUGUGAUUAGUUACAUGUGUAAGUUUCAGUUUCUGUCCUAAAGAUAUUUUUGAAUCAUUUCCUGGUAACCUGAGAAGUGUUUUGUAGCUGCGGUGCUCAGUGAUUUCCUCAGAAACCAUGUUUUACUGCCUCCUUGUAGGAAAUUCUUCAAUGUCAGUGGGUGACUGAGCUGAUCACAGCACCUUAUCUGUUGAGCCGCUCUCAUUGGUCUAACUGGUUGGCACAUAACCCAAGCUUGGCCAUUCUUCUUUGGACUGAAGCUGAUAAGAAAAAGAUGUUUUUUCUCUCAAGUUACAUGCCUUUAAGGAUGUAAGCCUGCAGUCACCAGUGUUCCUGCUCCUGGCCUCAUGCAGAGGACCCAUUUGCAGUAGAAGAAAAUAUACUCAUGUGCAGUAGAGGAGAUGGAGAGUCCUGACAAUGUGUAGAUCUAUGGAUGGAAUCACCUCCAAAGCCACCCUACUCCAUCUUUCCCAGGGAGCAUCUGUUUAUGCAUUCCCUUCUUUGAUUAAAUUAAGUUGAAUUGAGUUCUAUCAUUUGCAACCAGAGGAUUCUAAGACUGUGAGAAGUGUUUAUGGAAUGACAAAGGAAGGUGCAAAUAAUUAAAAACGAGUGAGGACAGGCUUCACAGAGUGAAGACAAGCUUCAUCUUUAGAGAUAAGAGCUUCUUUCUGGGGGAUAAAAAAAGAGUACAGUGAAUUUGGCUGGAAAAUGAAGUAAUAUGACUUGGGGAGUCAAGAAUGGGAAAGUGGACUCAAGAUCUCAAGAGUAUUUCCUUUCAUACUUUCCGUGAGUUUUUAGGUUUUAUCCUAUAAUCAGUGAUUGGGCAGUUAUUAAAGGGUUUUAAGCAAGGUUAUGAUAUAGUCAGAUUAUUCUUUUAGAAAGAUAAUUGGUCACAGUGUGGUGGGUAGUUCAAAAAAGGGGGAAAGAAAUCAGAGUCCAGACAGGAAGUUACUGCAGCAAACCAGAUAAGAAAUGAUGACAAUCUUAACAAGAGCGGUGCAAGAGAUGGUCUACAGAGGGUCGUGGACUGGAGGAAUUGGUGCCACGCUGGACAAGAGGGAGGAGAAGAGGCUGUUUGAGAUAACACCUUAGCUUCUGGCUGGGAUGACCAUAUGGAUGGGUGGAGGCACUGUUAACCAAAAGGAAGAGCAGGUUCUGGGGAGUAAGGACAGUGACAGAUGUCCAUGAAACAGCCAAGUGGAGAUGUCUAAUAGACAUGAAGAAGUAGCGUUUAUCUCAGCAGUGAAGUCAGCUGAUGAUACCAUUUAGAAGUCAUUAUAAAAGUAGUGGGCCAGAUGUAGCCUCCCAGAAACCCCCUGUGUAAUUUCUUUCUAAAAGAUAGGUAUUUUUCACACUGGGUUAAUUUAUCCUUCAAAUAUAGUUCAGUAUUUACAACAAAAACAACAUAUUGGCAUUUUUAUUUUAUUGGUGUAACUUCAAACAGCCAGUGUGAAACCAUUUAUUCUAUUUUGAGGGGAGAUGAAAAUUGCCAAGCUAUUUAUCUACUUGCCUAGCUUUUUAAUUUUAAAAAAUUCAAUGAAUUUUAUUAUAUUUUAUAGUUGUACAGCCAUCAUCACAACCUAAUUAUACAUUUCCAUCCCAAACGCCCAGCCCAUCCUGCCCCACAGUCUGUCUCCUUGGGUAACCCUAAGUUUUUCAGAGUCUUAGCUUUUUAUUCUUUUUUUUAAUUUGUUUUUGUUUUUUAUUUUGCUUUUUUUUUAGGGCUGCACCCAUGGCAUAUGGAGGUUCCCGGCUAGGGGCCUCAUUGGAGCUGCAGCUGCCAGCCUACACCACAGCUACAGCAACUCCAGAUCUGAGCCCAGUCUGCGACCUAUACCACAGCUCACGGCAACAUCGUAUUCUUAACCCACUGAGCGAGGCCAGGGAUUGAACCCGCAACCUCAUGGUUAUGAGUUGGAUUUCUUUCCACUGUGCCACAACGGGAACUUCUUUAGCUUUUUAUUCUUUAAAAAAUGUUUUUACUAUUAGAAUUCUCAUUUACUCUUCAUGUUGAUAUACAUGGAUAUAAUUUUAUUAUUUUUUGCUCCUGUUACUCUGCUCAAGUGGCUUUUCUAAGUGCACAUAUAUUAGUCUGGAAAACACUCAGGCUGAUGAUUUAAGAAGCCUUGAGAGUCUGUGGAGCUCUAAAGAUAGGGGUGUGCUUUGUGAUUGGCUGCUUUCACCUGUUGAGAAUCCUUAGUGUUUAUUGUUAAAGAUGUUUCAAUAGAUACUGAAAAAUCAACAACAGAAACAUUUUCUGAGUUGCUUUUGGGCCUAGCCACCUUAAAUAUUUUGCAUCCCUCCCCCUUUUGUUAGUUUUUUUUUUUUUUUUUUUUUUUUUUUUUUUUAGCUGUUUGUAAGCUUUUAUCAAACAGUGAUAGAGGUGAGCCAAUCAUACACUUCAAAUACAGUGUAGCUCCUUCUUUAAAAACUUGGGUUUGAAGGGAAUCAAAAAUAUAUUUGGGGAGAUAAACGGAGAGCCAGGAGACCUGGAUGCUACUACUAAAUUGCUCUAAUAUGAGUUUAUAUUCUUGGAUUGUUAUCUAAUCUCUUUGUGCUCUGUUUCUGCAUCUGGAAAAGGUUUACCCUCUUAUAAGCAUAGUCUGAGAACAAAUACUCGGCAUGUAUGGAAAUACUUUUAAGUUUUUCAGACAGUCUCUCAAAAAAUGUAAGUCAACAUGCUUAGCAAUAAUUGAUUAAAAACCGUCUGUAUCCAUUUAUCUUGGUGAUAAUAAAAGGAGAUGAAUAAAAUCACUUAGGCUGAUUCUGGGCACAUAGUAUAUGCUCAGUAAAAUCACAAUUUUAAAAGCUUUUUUUUUCUUCUUCUUCACUCUCUUCUUGCCUUCCUCCUUUUAUAACUUCUUUCCUAAGAUUCUUUUAGUUUUUUUCUUUGCUGACUUACUCAAUUUUUCAGAAGCAAGACCAAAUUUAAUAUUCUAGGAUAAUUCGUGUGAUAAUAAGCUAGAAACAGUACCAUGUCACCAUGUUUUAGGAAAUAUUUAUAUUGCUUUAUUUUAGAGGAUAAACAAGCUAAUAGGUCAACUGUUGCAGGCAGAAAGAAAAGCCAUAGACCUAGAAGCUUGAGAAGGUUCCAACUGGGGAAGCACUCAGUGGUUCCAACCACACUGAUUAAACGGUUAGUAGUUCCAGCUUAACUUGCCCUCGUGCUGAUCUUGUGCUGAUGGAGACAAGAGGCUGUGUCAGAAGAAUGUUUCUGCUUCCUUUUAGGGGUCUUUGGCACAUGUGAAUUUUAAAAAUGCCUAUGUUCUCUCGCUUGACAUUACAGAGUAGUUUGUGAUUCUAAUGUUAUUACACAUUCUCUCAAGUUUUAAAAACUAGACUUAUUGUUAUUAAGAAGAAGAGGUGUUUGGCGUACUCUCCAAUAAAUUAAUCAUUAAGAUGUUCUGAUGGAGAUAAUUUUGUGUCAAUGAUCUUGAAUAUCUUUAUACUUCAGAGAAGAAUUUAAGCCACAAGACUCAGUGGUCAGAGUUGAUCUCUGUGAAUGCCAGCCUUGAGUCCCAGUAACAGAGGCUUGGCUUUGAAUUUGCUUCCCAAGCCUUCCCUCCUUAUUCCCCACCCCACACAUUAAAAAACAAAACAAAACAAAACAAAAACCCUCAACUGACCUCAAACCUACUCUGCCAUGACCAGUUUGUCACAUACAGAUUUAAACUUCUAUGGCUUAAAUUUUGCUUUUUUAAGAAAAGUAAAGUUAGUUCCUCUUAUACAGAAAAGGGAUUUUACAUUAUGUCAGAUUUGAAGGAGGAAUGAAAUGCCUUCUUCGACGUAAAAAUAAGUAAGUGUAGGAAUUCGAGUCCUGCAAAUCCAACCAGGUCAUUGGGCAUUUCCCCUAUCCCUUAAAGGAGGAGAACUUUCUGUGCUGGCAGAUUAUGAAGGGCUGACUGAUGUCUGACCAGAAGCAGAGACCUCCGGAGGGCUCGGGGAGCCUGCCAGAAGACACGGGCGAGGCCAAGGCCACACUCAGCCUGAGCCAGGAAGCCACAGGCUGCUGCUGAGCUAAUCUGUUCAAUCUCCUUUCUUCCCUGCUCCCAUCCCUAGACUCCUUCCUAGAGGUGGAGGAAAAUACCUUCAAUGAAGCCCUGGAACUUUCAGGCACGCCGUUUCCAUAUUUUCCUGAGAUGAUUCCACAGGCCAGUGGAGACCAUGUCAUUGCUCCAACUCCUACGAAAGAAAAAAAAUUUUUAGAAGUUACUUCUGCAAAGUGGGAUUAAAAGUGUGGGGUGUUUAGAUAAGACUUGGUUGUGGGAAAAAGCUGGCCAGAUAUGUGAAUUAAUACCAGCAUACCUGUUUCCAUUAAAGUUUAGGUAUUUACAAUUUGUGCUUCAUUGUUAUAGACCAAUCAAAUAUGCACUGUUGGUUAUGGGGAACAAGCCUGAGAAAGUGGCUUCUCCAUAAAUUUUCUGAUGCCCCAAAUUUAUGUUUAUUUUUACACUAAGAGAUUAAUACUUGUGCUUGCACAGAGUCGAAGCACUCUGCUUAUCCACUCAGUGUCUCUUGAGUGCCUGGUGCAAAGCAGGAGCACAAGGCCUACGACCCAGUGAACACACAAUCAGUGAGAGCAGUAAUAACCAUUGCUACUGUGGUUGAAAUUUUUUAUCCUUCUUUUCCUUAUCCAGCAUUUUCCUGCUCGUGUGAACCUCCAUUUUUUAGGAAGAAAGGUAUCUUUGGAAACUGUUUUGAUAAAAUACGCCUGAAAAUGUGGCUUAUUUAUUUUUUUCUGAUGUCCACAAUUCUAUGGACAUGUGUAGGUGUUUUUUCCCUCUCUUUGGCAUUAAGUGUACAUAAACAAACAUGUGUACCUGGCUUGUCAGCUGUUCUUGAAUUCCCCCCUCUCACUCAGUUCUAGGCACAGAGCAGGAGAUAAAGGUGUAUAAAUCCAUUAUUUUUUGGAAAGGCAGUCAUAAUCCACUCAGAGAUGCAUUCUUGGCUAGAGAAAGCACCCUAUGAAAAAUGGGUUUAUUCACUGUUUCUUCCCUUAAUUCUACAGCAUUUUUUGAACACCUACUGAGUACUGCUUGUACACCAAUCACAAUGUACAGUUCCGCCUGGCCUUCAUGAGUGAUACUCUAUAGAUUGCAUGCAAGCACUUUCGAUGCUUCUGCAGACUCUGGAAUGCAUAGUGCUGAUGGUCUCUAUGUUAAUUAAGAACAUUUAGGAAAGCAAUUCAGUAUUUUUUUUCUGGAUCAUUGAUUCUCCUAUCAUUAAAAAUAAUCAGCAAAUUUGAUUGUGAAGAUUACCUAUUUUAUGGUAGAGCUCUGGUAGCUGAACUUCUACUUUCUCUCUCUGGAAAAGAUGAUACUCAGCUUGUUCACAGACUGGUGGGAUCAUAUUGAAUUGUCUGGCUACAGAGUAGGCUUCCUAGGGAGAAAUAAGAUUGCAACUGAAUUUAUACUGAUGAGAAAUAAGGCUGCUCUGAUUUGCAUGCAUGAAAAUUUUCAUUUUUGUGAAAUCAAUACAAAGCAAGAAACAUAUAGAUUGCCAAGUAAAAAGCAAAGUUAUGACCAUCAAUUUCACGAAGAGAAAUACCAAAUGCAAGAAAUCCUUAUUAUUCUCUUCCUUCCUUCCUUCCUUCCUUCCUUCCUUCCUUCCUUCCUGUCUUUCUGUCUUUCUAUUUUUCUGUCUUUUAGGGCCGCACCAUAUGGAGGUUCCCAGGCUAGGGGUCGAAUCAAAGCUGUAGCUGUCGGCUUAUGCCACAGCCACAGCAACAUGGGAUCUGAGCCACAUCUGUGACCUAUACCACAGCUCACAGCAAUGCUGGACCCUGAACCCACUGAACAAGGCCAAGGAUCAAACCUGUAUCCUCAUGGAUGCUAGUCAGAUUUAUUUUUGCUGAGCAACAAUGGGAACUCCAAGAAAUCCUUAUUAUUCUUUGGGAAGGUUUGGACUGAGUAAAGACCAGGACAAAUUAGUCAGUGUGAACUAUGGACUAUUAUAAAGAAAAUGCAGUUUGAAUAUUUCUAGGUUUCUAAAGAAAUAGAACUUAAACUAAAAUAUAAAAAUGAUCUGUAAUUAGCAGUGUUAAAAACAGUACAUUAAUCUAAUACA
Sus scrofa (pig) is the source of this 15682-nucleotide non-coding RNA. NCBI's taxonomy places the organism in Eukaryota, Metazoa, Chordata, Mammalia, Artiodactyla, Suidae. The record is from RefSeq and is a predicted model, not a curated record.